RNAcentral lists this long non-coding RNA (411 nucleotides) under Salmo salar (Atlantic salmon). Its description in RNAcentral is "lncRNA (ENSSSAG00000111219.1)". The record is from RNAcentral. Lineage: Eukaryota; Metazoa; Chordata; Actinopteri; Salmoniformes; Salmonidae.
GUCUCAGAAUCUGUCUCCGUUCCAGGUUCCUUGUCUACUUCCUCCCUCCUCUGUCUCAGAAUCUGUCUCCGUUCCAGGUUCCUUGUCUACUUCCUCCCUCCUCUGUCUCAGAAUCUGUCUCCGUUCCAGGUUCCUUGUCUACUUCCUCCUCAUCUUUCUUUUCCACAUGGUAUGAUUCAUCUCAUCCUCCUCUAUCCACUUUCUCUUUCUCCUCUUUUCCAUCUGUUGAACCUCCUCAGCUUUAGCCGGUGCCUCCUCCUCCUUCUCUCUCUCUCCUUCCCCUCUCCAUCCUUCAUUUCUCCAGGACCAGGUUCUCCAGACUUCCCUGUAGCUUGGUCUCCAGGCUCUUCUCCCCAACCACACUAUCUGAGUCCUCCUCUGUGGUCUUAGUAGACUCUUCCUUGUUAUCAU